This 260-nucleotide ribosomal RNA is filed under the name uncultured archaeon. Its description in RNAcentral is "partial 16S ribosomal RNA". It matches the Rfam family "Archaeal small subunit ribosomal RNA", at positions 748 to 1009 of the family's 1478-position model. The record is from RNAcentral.
CAGCCGUAAACUAUGCUCGCUAGGUGUCAGGCAUGGCGCGACCGUGUCUGGUGCCGCAGGGAAGCCGUGAAGCGAGCCACCUGGGAAGUACGGCCGCAAGGCUGAAACUUAAAGGAAUUGGCGGGGGAGCACAACAACGGGUGGAGCCUGCGGUUUAAUGGACUCAACGCCGGACAACUCACCGGGGACGACAGCAAUAUGUAGGCCAGGCUGAAGACCUUGCCUGAAUCGCUGAGAGGAGGUGCAUGGCGUAGACGUCU